CCAAUAGCGUAUAUUAAAGUUGUUGCAGUUAAAAAGCUCGUAGUUGAAUUUCGGGAUCAAGGGAUCGGUCAUGCCUUGGUAUGUACUGGUCUUAUUGGUUCUCACCUUCUAAAGAACCAUGAUGUCAUUCAUUUGAUGUUAUGGGGAAUUAGGACUGUUACCUUGAAAAAAUUAGAGUGUUUAAAGCAAGCUUACGCUUGAAUACAUUAGCAUGGAAUAAUGAAAUAGGACAUCAGAUUCUAUUUUGUUGGUUUCUAGGAUCGAUGUAAUGAUUAAUAGGGAUAGUUGGGGGCAUUAGUAUUCAAUUGUCAGAGGUGAAAUUCUUGGAUUUAUUGAAGACUAACUACUGCGAAAGCAUUUGCCAAGGAUGUUUUCAUUAAUCAAGAACGAAAGUUAGGGGAUCGAAGACGAUCAGAUACCGUCGUAGUCUUAACCAUAAACUAUGCCGACUAGGGAUCGGAUGAUGUUAAUUUUUUAACGACUCAUUCGGCACCUUACG
Molecule: ribosomal RNA, 499 nt
Filed under: uncultured Glomeromycotina
Lineage: Eukaryota; Fungi; Glomeromycota
Description: partial small subunit ribosomal RNA
Rfam family: Eukaryotic small subunit ribosomal RNA
Source: RNAcentral